UACGGAGGGUGCAAGCGUUGUCCGGAAUCACUGGGCGUAAAGGGCGCGUAGGCGGCUCAUGAAGGCUGUGGUGAAAGCCCGGGGCUCAACCUCGGAUCGGCCGUGGCGACUCGUGGGCUGGAGCACUGUAGAGGCGGGUGGAAUUCCGGGUGUAGCGGUGGAAUGCGUAGAGAUCCGGAAGAACACCGGUGGCGAAGGCGGCCUGCUGGGCAGUUGCUGACACUGAGGCGCGACAGCGUGGGGAGCAAACAGG
Molecule: ribosomal RNA, 253 nt
Filed under: uncultured bacterium
Lineage: Bacteria
Description: partial 16S ribosomal RNA
Rfam family: Bacterial small subunit ribosomal RNA
Source: RNAcentral